UACGAAGGGGGCUAGCGUUGCUCGGAAUGACUGGGCGUAAAGGGCGCGUAGGCGGACUAUUCAGUCAGGCGUGAAAUUCCUGGGCUUAACCUGGGGGCUGCGUUUGAGACGGAUGGUCUAGAGUUCGGAAGAGGGUCGUGGAAUUCCCAGUGUAGAGGUGAAAUUCGUAGAUAUUGGGAAGAACACCGGUGGCGAAGGCGGCGACCUGGUCCGGGACUGACGCUGAGGCGCGAAAGCGUGGGGAGCAAAC
Molecule: ribosomal RNA, 250 nt
Filed under: uncultured bacterium
Lineage: Bacteria
Description: partial 16S ribosomal RNA
Rfam family: Bacterial small subunit ribosomal RNA
Source: RNAcentral